AGAUAGAAAGUUACUUCGGUACAUCGGUGACAGGUGGUGCAUGGUUGUCGUCAGCUCGUGUCGUGAGAUGUUGGGUUAACGUCCCGCAACGAGCGCAACCCCUAUUGUUAGUUGCCAUCAUUCAGUUGGGCACUCUAGCGAGACUGGCCGGUAAUAAACCCGGAGGAAGGUGGGGAUGACGUCAAGUCCUCAUGGCCCUUAUGGGUAGGGCUUCACACGUCAUACAAUGGUCGGUACAGAGGGUUGCCAACCCGCGAGGGGGAGCUAAUCCCACAAAGCCGAUCGUAGUCCGGAUCGCAGUCUGCAACUCGACUGCGUGAAGUCGGAAUCGCUAGUAAUCGUGGAUCAGCAUGUCACGGUGAAUACGUUCCCGGGUCUU
Molecule: ribosomal RNA, 379 nt
Filed under: uncultured Rhodocyclaceae bacterium
Lineage: Bacteria; Pseudomonadati; Pseudomonadota; Betaproteobacteria; Rhodocyclales; Rhodocyclaceae
Description: bacterial SSU rRNA
Rfam family: Bacterial small subunit ribosomal RNA
Source: RNAcentral